RNAcentral lists this ribosomal RNA (408 nucleotides) under uncultured bacterium. RNAcentral describes it as "partial 16S ribosomal RNA". It matches the Rfam family "Bacterial small subunit ribosomal RNA", at positions 28 to 526 of the family's 1533-position model. The record is from RNAcentral.
GAUGAACGCUGGCGGCGUGCCUAACACAUGCAAGUCGAACGGGAGGGCGGACGGGUGAGUAACACGUGGGCAACCUGGCUCAUAGAGGGGGAUAACAGAGAGAAAUUUCUGCUAAUACCGCAUACUAUGAGAUGGAACCGAGUCUGCUUAGCCAGGUGGCAGGGUAAGAGACUACCCAAGCGACUAUCAGUAGCCGAUCUGAGAUGAUGAAUGGCCACAGUGGGACUGAGACACGGCCCAAACUCCUACGGGAUGCAGCAGUGGGGGAUAGUGCCCAAUGGGGGGAGCCCUGAUGCAGCGACGCCGCGUGAGUGAAGAAGUAUUUCGGUAUGUAAAGCUCUAUCAGCAGGGAAGCAGUACCUGAAUAAUAAGCCCCGGCUAACUACGUGCCAGCAGCCGCGGUAAUUC